RNA transcript from Archocentrus centrarchus (flier cichlid), 3162 nucleotides. It is a transcript of the gene named inhibitor of nuclear factor kappa B kinase regulatory subunit gamma, with no coding region annotated. The transcript has 16 exons. Lineage: Eukaryota; Metazoa; Chordata; Actinopteri; Cichliformes; Cichlidae. The record is from RefSeq and is a predicted model, not a curated record.
UAACAACACUCGCUUCAGCUCCAACAGAUAACGCAGCCCACGUUAAACACGCUCAGUCUGAGGGGAUAAUAUUACAAACCGGGCAUAAUACCUUUCUGAAGACAUACAGCUCGUUAUUGUAGUUCGGCUUUAAUGUCAGUCAACACCUGCCUCGGAUUACUUUGUUGUCUUUUUAGUUUCUUAUCCUAGCUAGCCCAUUAGCUAAGUCGCUAGCUGUGUAGCAUUAGCUAGCUGCCUGGCGCUGGUUUAAUAACGUUAGAUAGCCUAACUAACAGUGUGUAUGAGACUGACAGCCUGGCUGCCUGAUACUCUAGACGACUGAAGUGAAAAAGAAGAUCGGUGAUGGUGCAGCCACAGCCUGAUGGCCCCAUGCAGUGGGACAUGUCAGGAGAAGAGAGUGGCGGGGCCCUCAGGGUCCCACCAGAGCUUGCAGCCAAUGAAGUGGUGACCAGAUUGCUGAGUGACAACCAACAGCUUAGAGAGGCACUGCGGCGGAGCAACCUGGCCUUGCGUCAGCGCUGUGAGGAGAUGGAGGGAUGGCAACGAAGAACAAGAGAGGAACGAGAGUUUCUCAGCUGCCGUUUCCAGGAGGCAAGGUCCCUGGUGGAGAGGCUGGCCCAGGAGAACCACUCCUUACAGAGCAUGGUGAAUGGGCCAGGCUCCUCCAACUCCUCGUCUAAUCACUGCUGCAGCUCCAGCCAGACUGAAGACCUGCAGGUACGGCCAGCCAGGAACGGACCGGUGGACGGACCACAGACUCUAGAUCAACGAGAGAAGAAGAGAGUUGAAGACACAGAGCAAUACACACAAACAUCACCACCUCGCAGCCUGCCUGUGGAAGGUGCAAACGAGUUCCUGCAGCUGUUGAAGAGCCACAAAGAGAAACUGGAGGAAGGGGUGAGAGAGCUGAGGAAGAAGAAUGAAGAGCUAGAGAGGCAGAGGGACGAGGGAGAGAAAGAGAAAGAGCGAAUGCUUCACUGCAUUGAGCAGCUCCGGGCUAAACUGGCCCAGGCACAGACGAACAAUGUAACCGAGGAUGUUGUUCAGCAGCGCUCUGAGGCGCAGCAUUCCUCCGACUGCUCUAGCCUGGCUAAGCUCACAGAGCAGCUUCAGGCCACACAGGGCAGGUAUCGGGAGCUGGAGGAGAAGCUCGAUUACCUGCAGAAGAGCUCAGCUCAGCGGGACAGAACUGAAGCUCUGCUCAAACAGAAGGACAAGGACUGUGCCCAGCUGGCCAAGGACUGCGAGGCCCUGAAAGCUCAGGCAACGUCCCUGUUAGGAGAACUGAAGGAGAGACAGAGCUGGCUGGACAAAAGUGAGCAUGAACGCAAACUCAUUGAAGAAAAGCUGUGCAGUAAGACAAAGGCCCUGCAGGUGGCAGAGCGGGAGCUGGAGCAGCAGAAGAAGCAGCAUAAUGUGGCCAUGGACAAGCUGCUGCUGCAGACCCAGAGCCUGGAGCAGGCUCUGAAGACAGAGAGACAUGUUGUUACUGAGGAGAAGAAAAAGCUGACACAGCUGCAGCAUGCCUACACAUGUCUCUUUAGAGACUAUGAUUCUAAACUGAAGAAUGAGGGAGGAGAUCUGUGCAGCCGACUGGAGGAGGCAGAGCGAGCGCUGGCCUUGAAACAGGACCUGAUUGAUAAACUGAAGGAGGAGGUGGAGCAGCAGAAAGGCUCCCUGGAGACAAUUCCCGUCCUCACUGCACAGGCUGAGAUCUACAAGGCAGAUUUCCUCGCUGAGCGAGAAGCCAGAGAGAAGCUGAACCAGAAGAAGGAGGAGCUGCAGGAGCAGCUGAAUCAGGCCGUGGCUGACAACGAAAGGCUUAAACAGGACGCAGCAUCACGUGCACGUAUUGAGCAAAUGAAGAUGAGACACCUGGAAGACUUCCCUGCACGGCCCACACACAUUCCCCCUCCACAAGGUAUGUUCCCCCCUUUCAACACGGUGCCCCCCGCCCCCUCAUUCCGCACUCCAGGAUUGGGACCAGUCGGUGAUCAAGGGCCAGCUGGAACAGAGGAGCUGCCAGAUUUAUGUUGUCCUAAGUGCCAGUACCUGGCUCCAGAUAUGGACACACUGCAGAUACAUGUAAUGGACUGUAUACAGUAACAGAAGCAUUGCUCUGUGUAUCAUGACACCAACACACACAUACAUAUGCAAUAUAUAUAUAUAUAUAAUGUGUAUGUAUAGUAUAUUUAGGUUCAGUGUGUCCUCUUCCAGCUCUGGGCACAGACUGGAAAAACAUGUUUGGAUAGUUGCACCUUACUUUCGCUUUCUCUGUCUUGCAAACACACAUCCACAAACCUGAACACAAAGUCUGGAUCUUUCUGUUUUAACAGUCCAGUAUGUUGGAAUCAAGACAGUUCAUACCAAGGGAAUCAGAUGACAGUAUAAAACAAGUGAAAGAAAAACAAGAUAACCAGGAUGAUGUUUCCCUAUAGUUCCUCUGUGGAUGCAGUCUCUGCUGUAGCUUUUCCAUUCCCACACCCUUUUUUUUCCCACCCAGUACCUUCUUUUUUGUUUUUAAUGCCUGCUUUCCUCUGAGACAGCACUUUGAGGCAAAUGUCCGUCAGUAUUUUUACAUGAUCCCUGAUCCCUUAUCUCCCAUUUCCUUGCUUCUUUACUCCAGUGUUGUAGUGGUGACUGAAGAGUACACUAAAUGCUGUGAAGUAAAUGUUUAUACUUUUAAUUGCACCAAUACAAUUCGUUUUAUCAGUCCAACAGAUCAGUAAUUAUUGGACCCAAGGUGUUGGCAUGUUAAAGAAAAAUAAAUAACAGUUCAGACAAGAAAAUAAAUGAUCAUGUGAAUAACAUAUUGAGCUUUAAAAUCAGCUAUGUUAUGGUUGUAAAUGUAGCUGUCUGUAUUACCUCAAAACAUAUAAUGUAUUAGAGAUGGAUUUACUCUCGUUGAAAAAAAAGUAGCCACUCUCUGUGUUCUGUGCCUGUGUACAUGACUGACUGCUUUCAUCCACAUGCUAGACCCAGCGCUCAACCCAGCAGCCCUUUUGUGACCCUUCUUCUUCUGUCUUAGCUUUGCCUGUUGCACCUAUUUAUCUAUCUAAAUGUAAAGUUCCUUCGCAGUUCGUGUGGAUUUUGUCUAAGUUUAGAACAUAUAUUUAGCUUCAAACUAUUAGGAGAUUUACAAAAUAAAUCAGUUAUCCAUUA